GAUGAACGCUGGCGGCGUGCCUAAUACAUGCAAGUCGAGCGAACAGAUGAGGAGCUUGCUCCUCUGACGUUAGCGGCGGACGGGUGAGUAACACGUGGAUAACCUACCUAUAAGACUGGGAUAACUUCGGGAAACCGGAGCUAAUACCGGAUAAUAUAUUGAACCGCAUGGUUCAAUAGUGAAAGACGGUUUUGCUGUCACUUAUAGAUGGAUCCGCGCCGCAUUAGCUAGUUGGUAAGGUAACGGCUUACCAAGGCAACGAUGUGUAGCCGACCUGAGAGGGUGAUCGGCCACACUGGAACUGAGACACGGUCCAGACUCCUACGGGAGGCAGCAGUAGGGAAUCUUCCGCAAUGGGCGAAAGCUUGACGGAGCAACGCCGCGUGAGUGAUGAAGGUCUUCGGAUCGUAAAACUCUGUUAUUAGGGAAGAACAAAUGUGUAAGUAACUAUGCACGUCUUGACGGUACCUAAUCAGAAAGCCACGGCUAACUACGUG
This 497-nucleotide ribosomal RNA is filed under the name uncultured bacterium. RNAcentral's name for it is "partial 16S ribosomal RNA". It matches the Rfam family "Bacterial small subunit ribosomal RNA", at positions 28 to 507 of the family's 1533-position model. The record is from RNAcentral.